UACGGAGGGAGCUAGCGUUGUUCGGAAUUACUGGGCGUAAAGCGCACGUAGGCGGCGACUCAAGUCAGAGGUGAAAGCCCGGGGCUCAACCCCGGAACUGCCUUUGAAACUAGGUCGCUAGAAUCUUGGAGAGGUCAGUGGAAUUCCGAGUGUAGAGGUGAAAUUCGUAGAUAUUCGGAAGAACACCAGUGGCGAAGGCGACUGACUGGACAAGUAUUGACGCUGAGGUGCGAAAGCGUGGGGAGCAAACAGG
Molecule: ribosomal RNA, 253 nt
Filed under: uncultured bacterium
Lineage: Bacteria
Description: partial 16S ribosomal RNA
Rfam family: Bacterial small subunit ribosomal RNA
Source: RNAcentral